Molecule: long non-coding RNA, 239 nt
Filed under: Gossypium raimondii (Peruvian cotton)
Lineage: Eukaryota; Viridiplantae; Streptophyta; Magnoliopsida; Malvales; Malvaceae
Description: long non-coding RNA (GRAI_LNC004406)
Source: RNAcentral
GUUUUCAAUUUUUUUUUGUUUAGUUUGCUUGAAGGAAAUCAAAGACUUAAGUGUGGGGGUAUUUGACCUGACGUAAAAUGUAGUAGUAAUUUCGGUCUAUUUCCACACUUAAGGAGCUUGUUUUCUAGUCAUUUUAGUAUUAAUUAUUGCAUUUUUGGUAUUUAGUAGUUAGUAUUAAAAGUUAAUAAAAUAAGUAUUUUUAACACAUUUUGUGAGUGUUGUGACCUAUUAGGCUGACA